This 460-nucleotide ribosomal RNA is filed under the name uncultured bacterium. RNAcentral's name for it is "partial 16S ribosomal RNA". It matches the Rfam family "Bacterial small subunit ribosomal RNA", at positions 338 to 795 of the family's 1533-position model. The record is from RNAcentral.
CCUACGGGAGACAGCAGUGAGGAAUAUUGGUCAAUGGUCGGGAGACUGAACCAGCCAAGCCGCGUGAGGGAUGAAGGUACAGAGUAUCGUAAACCUCUUUUGUCAGGGAACAAAGGCGGGGACGUGUCCCCGGAUGAGUGUACCUGAAGAAAAAGCAUUGGCUAACUCCGUGCCAGCAGCCGCGGUAAUACGGAGGGUGCGGGCGUUAUCCGGAUUUAUUGGGUUUAAAGGGUGCGCAGGCGGCUUGUUAAGCGUGCGGUCAAAUCCCGUGGCUCAACCCCGGCCCGGCGGUGCAAACUGGCAGGCUCGAGUGGGAGGGAAGUAUGCGGAAUGCGUGGUGUAGCGGUGAAAUGCAUAGAUAUCGCGAAGAACUCCGAUUGCGAAGGCAGCAUGCCGGCUCCACACUGACGCUGAGGCACGAAGGCGUGGGUAUCGAACAGGAUUAGAUACCCCUGUAGUC